Molecule: ribosomal RNA, 497 nt
Filed under: uncultured bacterium
Lineage: Bacteria
Description: partial 16S ribosomal RNA
Rfam family: Bacterial small subunit ribosomal RNA
Source: RNAcentral
GAUGAACGCUGGCGGCGUGCCUAAUACAUGCAAGUCGAGCGAACGGACGAGAAGCUUGCUUCUCUGAUGUUAGCGGCGGACGUGUGAGUAACACGUGUAUCCCCUACCUAUAAUACUGGUAUAACUUCGGAAAACCGUAUCUAAUACCGUAUGAUAUUUUGAACCGCAGUGUUCAAAAGUGAAAUACGGUGUUGCUGUCACGUAUAGAUGGAUCCGCGCUUCAUUAGCUGGUUGGUGAGGUAACGGCUUACCAAGGCAACGAUGCAUAGCCGACCUGAGAGGGUGGUCGCCCACACUGGAAGUGAGACACGGUCAAGACGCCUACGAGAGGCAGCAGUAGGGAAUGUGAGGCAGUGGGCGAGAGCAUGACGGAGCAACGCCGCGUCAGUGACAACGGUCUUGGGAUCGGGAAAACCUGUUACUAGGGGAGAACAUAUGUGGAAGUAAACGUGGCGAUCGUGACGGUACCUGAUAAGAAAGCACCGGCUAACUACGUG